This 4692-nucleotide long non-coding RNA is filed under the name Capra hircus (goat). Its description in RNAcentral is "lncRNA (ENSCHIG00010012152.1)". Lineage: Eukaryota; Metazoa; Chordata; Mammalia; Artiodactyla; Bovidae. The record is from RNAcentral.
AAAGAAGCAGGGGAGGGGAUGGUGGGUGGGGAGGGCGGGUGGGAAGGGCUUUCCAGACAAAAGGAUUAGCAUGUGCAAGGCCAUGAAGAUAAGAGAAAGCGUGGGCACCCUGCGAGAACUGCCAGGGAAGCAUAGAGCGGGUGGAGGCAUGCGGUAAGAGAUGGCAGGUCUCAUGUGUGCCCCUGAACAAGGACAAAGGUGCAUUCGCGGCUGUAGAAAGAGACUUGGCUUCAUCUCUACAGCCAUUUCUCUUGGAUCCAGAACCUGUAAUACUCACCUCUUUGCUUUAUCUUCUUUGGAGUUUGAAUCAGUUCUCUAGGCUUUCAACCUAUUUCUAGCUACCACCAGACACAUUGAGAACCUUCCAUACCCAUCGUCUACAGAAAAGACUUCCAAGUUUGACAUUCCAGUCUGUCCACAACCCCUAUCCAAUCUACCUGCCUCCACACACACUUUCUCCUCCUGAUCAACCACGUCCUAGUAACAGAGCUUACCCUUCCUCAGCUCUUCUCAUUUAGUUACAAGAGACUGCUUUCCUUCUACAAAUUCAUUCGUCCCCCAAGACCUGCCUCAAGCGGCCGCCUUUGGUGGAACCUGAGAAUGUGUCUGCCUGACAUUUCCUAUAUGCCGUCUUGGCAUUGUCAAAUUUCUUGUAAGUUUAUCUCUCCUUUCCUGAGCUAAACUGUGAGCUCCUGGAGGCAGGGGAUGUGAAGGCACAUGGGAUAUUUUUUAAAAAUAGAUUGGGUUAACAUGGGUCAGAACUUGAUUUUGGCUCUAUCAUUGUUAAAACAAAGAUUCAAGGAGAGGGAAUGUUCAAACCUAGCACCAGAGAUGACUCGAUCUAACAAGAGUGCGGGAGAACAGACAAGAACCCAUGCUCUCACUGUGAGAUUCAGACUAUUUCAUAAUGGUUUCUGCUCUGCCAAGAUUAUGUAUCUGACAUCUCUAAAGGCCUGACUCACUAAGCAGAAAGAUAUGGAGACUAUUUAGCUCUGAAAGAGAUCAUGUAAAUCUAUGAGGGGAAGUUCCCCUCUUACUGUAUAAACUUUGGCCUUGUUUGACUAUACUGAACAUACGUAAGAUAUAGUCAUAGUAAAAGCAGCUCUUUAAUUUUUUUCUAGUGCAAAAUGACCAGGAAGCUCAAAGAAAAGGAAAAAAGAGGAAUGAAUUUUUCUCUUUCCCUUUCCUGAGAACACAGAACAUAAAGAGAACAGCGAGCAGGCCGGAACAUUCCUAGGUUUUUAAAAAAUUUUAAUUGCUUCUAACUCUGAAUGUCUGUAACUAAGUUUGCCUUUCUGCCCCCUAACUCUGCAGGANNNNNNNNNNNNNNNNNNNNNNNNNNNNNNNNNNNNNNNNNNNNNNNNNNNNNNNNNNNNNNNNNNNNNNNNNNNNNNNNNNNNNNNNNNNNNNNNNNNUUAUUCCAUUUGGUAUUGUUGCAGUGAAAAGGGAAAAGGAAAAAAAAGAGGAAUGGGUUUUUCUCUUUCCCUUUCCUGAGGACAAAGAAUAUAGAGAGAAGAGUGAGCAGGACUGAACAUUCCAAGUUUUUGGUUGUUGUUAUUUACUUUAACUUCUCCUAACUCUGAAUGUCUAUAACUAAGUUUGCUCUUCUGCCCUCUAACUCUGCAAGAGCUACACUUGACACCUAUUUUCCUUAAACUCUAUGCUUAAUACAUCCUCUAUCUGGUGUUUACCCUUACACAGAGGCACCUACUGCCAGACUCAAUUAUUGGGUUACUGACUCCAGUUUAUGACUGACUGUCUUUGAAACAAUGCAAGAGGAAGAAAUCAAGAUCCUAUCACCUUUGUUUCUCAUCACUGACUCCUGAGUGGGAAUCCUUGCCUUAUUUAAACUCCUAGACUCCUCAUGGGAGGAGGUGGGCACAAUUCUUGAGGCAUUAGCCUACUGCAUUCACUUCUCCUCCAGCUGAGAAUAAAAGCCCCCUUUCUAUUUCCUCCAAACUUUGUCUCCAUAUUUUUCAUUCAGCUUCAGUGGGUAGAGAAGGCCAAGAUUUUGGCCGGCAACAAUUUAAUGAAAAAAAUAUAUNNNNNNNNNNNNNNNNNNNNNNNNNNNNNNNNNNNNNNNNNNNNNNNNNNNNNNNNNNNNNNNNNNNNNNNNNNNNNNNNNNNNNNNNNNNNNNNNNNNUAUUUUUCAUUCAGCUUCGGUGGGCAGAGAAGGCCAAGAUUUUGGCCAGCGACAGCAACAAAGACCCAGAAUAGCUAAAAAUAAAUAUAAAUAAAUAAAUAUUUAAAAUAAAACUGAAUAGGGGUAGAUAAAGGGACUGAAUGUCAUUUCAGUCGCUCUUUACCCAUCUCUUUGCUUAUUUGUGGUUCUUCCUCUGGUCUGGAAGCCCCAGGAAGGCAGGGUUCCUGCGCUCUUUGUUUGCUGUACAGCACCUCACACAGAGUACAUCCAAUAAAUAUUUGUGGAAUAAAUGAUGAUUCCUGGUUCUCAAACUACUAUUCUGGGAAGAAACUCUGCCAUCAACCAGUAGAAGUGUUUCUAUGAGUUUUUUUUUUUUUUUUUGAAUGGAUCCGCAGGAUGAGUCAACUUUGAAUGAGCCAAGGAUUGGUGAAAAGUACUAACUGCCAACGUCAUUCUGCAUCCUGCCAAACAGUGAGCAUUGUGCGCUGGUAUGCACUUGUGGGCUUACUCAGUUGUGUCUGAUUCUUAGUGACCCCUUGGACUAUAGCCCACCAGGCUCCCCUGUCCAUGGAAUUCUCCAGGAAGGUUACAGGAGUGGGUUGCCAUGCCCUCCUCCAAGGGAUCUUCUUGACCCAGGGAUUGAACCAGCAUCUCCUGUGUUUCCUACAUUGGCAGGCAGAUUCUUUACCAUUGUGCCAUCUGGAAAGCUCUUGUGGUUCACUGAAGUGCUCCAUAAUUCUGUUCUGAUUAAUUUCCUUUGAGCCAGGGAUUCCAAAACCUGGUCCGAUGGACCUAUGGGCUUUAGGGCCCCACAAACACUUAAAAUAUUUGGAUGUGUGCUUCUUCCUAGGUAUAGAAUUCACAGCUUUCAUCCACGUAUCAGAAGAGUCUGAGCUUUAGAGGUUGAUGUUCUCAUCUAACCAGCUAUUAUGAGUGGAGGCCCAAAGUGCAAGAAGCAGAGGAGUGAAUUCAAGUUCUGCAGUCAAGGUCACUCCCAGGAGGGCACCCAGCUGGCUCUGGGAGACCAGACAACAAUGACAGCAAGUUUUGUUAAGCUCAGUGCACUGUGCUGCUGUAACUCAUUUAUCCUCCCAGAGCUUAUGAGAAAAGCACCGGUAUUACCAACCCACUUUACAGAUGAGGAAACGGAGGCUUGGGAAAGUUAAGUAAAGUAGCCUGUUAUCACUAAUAAUAAGUGUGUGCUUGGAUUCAAUCCCAGGUCUAAGUGGUGUGCAGCCUGCAUGAUUACCCACCGCCUCGUAUUUGUUCUUCCCAUGGUCAGAAGAACUGGUCGUCUUUUAUGAAAACCACAGAGCACUCUGAUCACAAAGAGCUGCCAGCUGCCCCCUUUGCUGUAAAAAUCAAGUUCAAGCCUGGUACCAGAAGGCCCCAAAGGUGUCUCCAGCAAACUUUGACUUAAAAAAAAAGAAAGGGAAUCCAGACAGGUUCCCAAGAGUUCACAGUGCGCUGAGCUCUGACCCUGGAGCACGCAUAUUUCAGAGCCUUUGUGUCUUAAUUACAGGUAAACAGGUGCACAUAAUCGUCUCUGUUGACUCUUUCCAGGUUAGUCAUUUAAUUAUGGUCUGCUAAAGAGUGAGAAAAACCCACGCUCUCCACCCACUGUCAAGAUAAAAAGCUUACAAUUCAGCUCAGUUCAACCACAAUCUAACACAAUCUAUCACUUACAAGUCAGUAGGAUCCAGGCAACUGUGGGUGGGAAAGUGGUCAUUUUGAAGAUGAAUAAGUCAUUUCAUAUACUCCUCUUGGCAAAAAGUAAGGAUGCAGGAUACUCUUAUGUAAUCAAUAGAGCCCUGAACAUGAGGCACAAAUCUAUGGAGUCAGAUGGAAGCAUGAUGGCAAUGAUGAAGAGGACCACUGACACCUCCAUUUCACAAGGACCAUCACGGGGCUGGCAUGUUAAACACGCUGUCCCCAAACACCACAGCAAUUCCAGGAGGUAAGUUUUCUUGGCCUGCUUCAGAGCUGAAAUAAAGUGGAGAAAACUGCCCAGUGGCAUAACAUAAUAACCAAGUGGCUGAGUCAGGGCUUGAACACAAUUCUCUUUGCCCUCGGAGUCCUGCCUUCUUCCAACCCUCUUGUCCCACAGACCUUGUGCUGAAAUGUGAAUACCCUCUGUUUUAUCUGCUUUGUGUAUCCAAUACUUGGUCUGCCAAGAAGCAUAUUCAAAAGAGUAAUUUUUAAAACACAGAGCAAUUCUAGAUUUGAGCAACGCACAACAUGGAUUUGUGAUCUAGGAAGAGUUAAGGGUCGCAUGCUGACCCUUCCUUUUCAAUAUCAUUUUAAGGAAUCUUCCAUGUGCAGUUACCCAUUCACUGGGUCAUGAGCAAUUCACAUCUUCCCCCUCAAGCCCAGGGCUGGCGUUCUAGAUGCCCUUCUCCUGGGGAGAUGCCUAAAACUAGCUGAUCAAGCUGGUUUCGUAAAUGUGUUUGAAACACCUACUUAACAUCCAACAUCAUCCAGUGUAUUCAUCUUUGUUGUUGUUUAGUCACUAAGUCAUGUCUGACUAUUUGCGAUCCCGUGGACUGUAG